ACCCCUGUAACGCAAUGGAUAGCGCGUUGGACUUCUAAUCCAAAGGUCGUGGGUUCGAAUCCACCUGGGAUG
Molecule: transfer RNA, 72 nt
Filed under: Trichonephila inaurata madagascariensis
Lineage: Eukaryota; Metazoa; Arthropoda; Arachnida; Araneae; Nephilidae
Rfam family: tRNA
About the family: Transfer RNA (tRNA) molecules are approximately 80 nucleotides in length. Their secondary structure includes four short double-helical elements and three loops (D, anti-codon, and T loops).
Source: Rfam by way of RNAcentral